Siniperca chuatsi (mandarin fish) is the source of this 1280-nucleotide long non-coding RNA. RefSeq lists it as uncharacterized. The transcript has 2 exons. NCBI's taxonomy places the organism in Eukaryota, Metazoa, Chordata, Actinopteri, Centrarchiformes, Sinipercidae. The record is from RefSeq and is a predicted model, not a curated record.
UUAACUGCAUUACAAACUGGUACACUGCAAAGGAGUUUUGAUGACCAGAGUAGAACUGCAUACGCUUUGGGAGCAAAAUGGGCAUAAAGUACACUUCCCGGGCUGCAGUCUGUCUGACUGCCGAGAGGCUCUGACUGAUUGAGUCUUUCCCGUCCGCGUCUGAGUUAGGCGCAGCCAUGACGGCUACAGUCGGCUGCACGACAACAAAGCAAUUUACCUCUACCAACUCCGCAGGACUGUAGGAUCAUACCUCACCUAUCUGCCAGCCUGCCUGCUCUUAACCCUACAUCCACCAGUCAUCUCCAGCUAGCCACACCAUUCCUUCUCAUUCAUCCAUCUUGCUCCUGUCUCUCCAGCCAUACCUCACUGCCCUCCGCCUCAGCCAGCUGCCUCCCUGCUCAUUCUACCUCCAGUCCCUGCUUCCCUUACAAUAAAUACCCUUUUCAGUUAAUCUACGUCUGCGUUUGGGUCUAAUCUGCAAAUCAUAACAUUUAAAGAAUGUUUGCAAGCCCUUAAAAAGUCUUGAAUUUAUUUUUGUUCAUACAGGUGUCUAAUACAUCAUGACAGAAUAUGUCAUGGUCAUAAAAGUCUGCAAUGUGUCCUUAGCUAAGACUACAACUUGCAUGUGCUUACUUGUGUGGCAAACUGUCUUAAAUGUUAUUCUAAGAAGCAUUUGAAAUGUUUAAAAAGCCUUAAAUUUAACUUGCUAAUGCCUGCAGAUGUUCUAUUUUAAUAUGUGUAGUUCUUAACUGAAAUGUAGUUCACCGCUUGAAAAAGAGUUGCCCUAACUACAUUUUGUUGGUAGGGAAUAUAAACAGAUCAGGCAAGAAAACAGGUUCAGAGCUUUGCUGUGCUUGUUGCUCAAUAGUGAGUUUAUCGCCUACUAAGUGGAGUUUUUUUCAUUUAACCCAUUAUCACCCAUACUUUUUGACUGAUUUACAUUAUGUUCUAAUAAUGAUAUAGCCUAAUAACAAGUAAUAAUUAGAAUGAAUUAAGGAAACUUAAAAUAAUCUAGCCUACCUUUUAAUGGGAUGAUAGGGAACAAUAUACAGCCAUACAUUUAGGACAUUUAUUUCUGUUAUUGUUUUCAGAGAGUAUAGGCCUAUACUUUGUGCAACAAACACAAACCUCUAUGCUCAUUUUUCUUAAACAGUGAAUGAUGAUCGUAAGAUAUGGUUGAAAGAUUCAAAAGCUUUUGAGUGGAUCUUUUAGCUUUGACUAUUCAAUUACAUAUAACAUUUUUGUUUUAUAAUAAACCUGUGUGUCUGUGGUGCUCACUA